CAGGGUUGUCCACUGAAUCCGACUUUACUUGGUCUAGUUAGUGAUUCCGAACGUCUUAUGAAGGCGCUACGUGGGGUGGUUGGCUGAGGUCUUUGGCCAUCCCGCUACUGUACGGAAGUGUGAGCUUUCUUUCUUCAAUCCCUCAGCAGAGCCCCGAAGGGCAGUUUAUCCUCCGUGGGCGUGGGCAUGGGUUGCGACCUGAUUUCCUGUUCACCUGACGACCUCGUUGUACUUGUGGAUGGCUGCCUCCUCCUUUCCUCCCUUCCUCGUUGUAUACCUUAUGGGAGGAUGUCUGAACCCCCUUCCUUUAACCCUCCUAAACACCACUUAUCCCUCUUGCCUGGUGGUUUUUCCAGCAACUGGGACGCAGUGGUGAUUACGACCCUUCUAUGGGUCUGGGCAACCCUUGCCGGUCACCCGAAGUAGAAGGCUUCUUCAAGGGCUACACCAAGUGGGCCGCCUCAGGGGGCGUAGUGGAGGUUUCCGCAACCCCCUUGAGCAGCUCUCUACUAAAUUCCGUGCCCUUGUGCUGCCUGGGCCAUGCAGGCCGGGGCCCGGGGGCGCAGGUUUGCUCUCCACGCGCCGUUACACCCCCCCCCAUCGGUCACUGCCCCCUCCAGCUUGAAGCUAUGCAUGGCGCAGUACGCGUGCAAACCCUGAUAGGCAAUUUCGGGGAUGUGCGUCCAAGCAUGUAAUUCUACAACACACUUCAAGCAAAUAGAGGAAUGCAUGUGAACCCCACGUGAACCAAAGUUUACCGUGUUCAAGAGCCAGGUAAAGCACCACCCAGCCCGGCACACAUGUGCGCCACCUUCUCAUUGCCUGGAUCCAUGGCAUAGUAAAGCCUGGUCCCGCUGGCGUCCAGCAUGGGGCUCAUGCUUACAACAUGUCAAUAAUAUUGAAUAUCCACCACGCAGCUGACGGGGACGUCCUUUUCG
RNAcentral lists this long non-coding RNA (938 nucleotides) under Volvox carteri. RNAcentral describes it as "long non-coding RNA (VCAR_LNC002828)". The record is from RNAcentral. Lineage: Eukaryota; Viridiplantae; Chlorophyta; Chlorophyceae; Chlamydomonadales; Volvocaceae.